RNAcentral lists this ribosomal RNA (386 nucleotides) under uncultured bacterium. Its description in RNAcentral is "bacterial SSU rRNA". It matches the Rfam family "Bacterial small subunit ribosomal RNA", at positions 28 to 417 of the family's 1533-position model. The record is from RNAcentral.
GACGAACGCUGGCGGCGUGCUUAACACAUGCAAGUCGAGCGGUAAGGCCCUUUCGGGGGUACACGAGCGGCGAACGGGUGAGUAACACGUGGGUGACCUGCCCUCAGCUCUGGGAUAAGCCUGGGAAACCGGGUCUAAUACUGGAUAUGACUCCAUGACGCAUGUUGUGGGGUGGAAAGCCUUGUGCGGCUGAGGAUGGGCCCGCGGCCUAUCAGCUUGUUGGUGGGGUGAGGCCUACCAAGGCGACGACGGGUAGCCGGCCUGAGAGGGCGACCGGCACACUGGGACUGAGACACGGCCCAGACUCCUACGGGAGGCAGCAGUGGGGAAUCUUGCGCAAUGGGCGAAAGCCUGACGCAGCGACGCCGCGUGAGGGAUGACGGCCU